RNAcentral lists this ribosomal RNA (722 nucleotides) under uncultured bacterium. Its description in RNAcentral is "bacterial SSU rRNA". It matches the Rfam family "Bacterial small subunit ribosomal RNA", at positions 8 to 700 of the family's 1533-position model. The record is from RNAcentral.
AGAGUUUGAUCAUGGCUCAGAAUGAACGCUGGCGGCGUGCUUAACACAUGCAAGUCGAACGAGAAAGCCGAAAGCUUGCUUUUGGCGAGUAAAGUGGCGCACGGGUGAGUAACGCGUGGGUAAUCUGCCUUUGAAUUCGGGAUAACACUUCGAAAGGUGUGCUAAUACCGGAUAACAUCUGUUUACCUUAGGUUAAACAGAUCAAAGAUAGCCUCUACAUGUAAGCUAUUGUUUAAAGAUGAGCCCGCGUACCAUUAGCUUGUUGGUGGGGUAACGGCCCACCAAGGCAACGAUGGUUAGCUGGUCUGAGAGGAUGAUCAGCCACACUGGAACUGACACACGGUCCAGACUCCUACGGGAGGCAGCAGUGAGGAAUUUUGCGCAAUGGGGGAAACCCUGACGCAGCAACGCCGCGUGAGUGAUGAAGGCUUUCGGGUCGUAAAGCUCUGUCAAGUGGGAAGAAGUUAUCAUAUAUUAAUAGUAUAUGGUAUUGACGGUACCACUGAAGGAAGCACCGGCUAACUCCGUGCCAGCAGCCGCGGUAAUACGGAGGGUGCAAGCGUUAUUCGGAUUUACUGGGCGUAAAGGGCGCGUAGGCGGUCUGAUAAGUCAGUUGUGAAAGCCCGGGGCUCAACCCCGGAAGUGCAAUUGAAACUGUCAGGCUUGAGUAUGGUAGAGGGAAGUGGAAUUCCUGGUGUAGCGGUGAAAUGCGUAGAUAUCAG